RNAcentral lists this small RNA (29 nucleotides) under Bombyx mori (domestic silkworm). RNAcentral's name for it is "ovarian small RNA-16095". The record is from RNAcentral. Lineage: Eukaryota; Metazoa; Arthropoda; Insecta; Lepidoptera; Bombycidae.
GAUCAGCCGAAGGAUCGGCCAGCAGUCUG